GAUGAACGCUGGCGGCGUGCCUAAUACAUGCAAGUCGAGCGAACAGACGAGGAGCUUGCUCCUCUGACGUUAGCGGCGGACGGGUGAGUAACACGUGGAUAACCUACCUAUAAGACUGGGAUAACUUCGGGAAACCGGCGCUAAUACCGGAUAAUAUAUUGAACCGCAUGGUUCAAUAGUGAAAGACGGUUUUGCUGUCACUUAUAGAUGGAUCCGCGCCGCAUUAGCUAGUUGGUAAGGUAACGGCUUACCAAGGCGACCAUGCGUAGCCGACCUGAGAGAGUGAUAGGCGACACUGGAACUGAGACAGGGUCCAGACGCCUAAGGGAGGGAGCAGAAGGGAAUCGGCCGCAAUGGGCGAAAGCCUGACGGAGCAACGCCGCGUGAGUGAUGAAGGUCUUGGGAGCGUAAAACUCUGUUAUUAGGGAAGAACAAAUGUGUAAGUAACUAUGCACGUCUUGACGGUACCUAAUCAGAAAGCCACGGCUAACUACGUG
RNAcentral lists this ribosomal RNA (497 nucleotides) under uncultured bacterium. RNAcentral's name for it is "partial 16S ribosomal RNA". It matches the Rfam family "Bacterial small subunit ribosomal RNA", at positions 28 to 507 of the family's 1533-position model. The record is from RNAcentral.